ACUGAGUCUAGAGUAGCAUCCUGACACAGUUCUUGUCCUGGUUUGCUGGAGUCUUUGGAGAUAAUCUGCUGAUUUUGACUCACUGAUAGAGAGUGAUCAAUUCCCCCACUAAUGCCCUGAUCAGAAACAUGU
This 132-nucleotide small nucleolar RNA is filed under the name Dasypus novemcinctus (nine-banded armadillo). Its description in RNAcentral is "Small nucleolar RNA SNORA3/SNORA45 family (ENSDNOG00000042068.1)". It matches the Rfam family "Small nucleolar RNA SNORA3/SNORA45 family". Rfam says of the family: The members of this family belong to the H/ACA class of snoRNAs which are thought to guide the sites of modification of uridines to pseudouridines. This family includes mouse snoMBI-28 and human homologues ACA3 (SNORA3) and ACA3-2 (SNORA45). The record is from RNAcentral. Lineage: Eukaryota; Metazoa; Chordata; Mammalia; Cingulata; Dasypodidae.